This 776-nucleotide ribosomal RNA is filed under the name uncultured Neocallimastigales. RNAcentral describes it as "partial large subunit ribosomal RNA". It matches the Rfam family "Eukaryotic large subunit ribosomal RNA", at positions 24 to 611 of the family's 3401-position model. The record is from RNAcentral. Lineage: Eukaryota; Fungi; Neocallimastigomycota; Neocallimastigomycetes; Neocallimastigales.
UAUCUCUGUAGAGUCUGCAUAUCAAUAAGCGGAGGAAAAGAAACUAACAAGGAUUCCCUUAGUAACGGCGAGUGAAGCGGGAAGAGCUCAAAUUUGAAAUCUUCAAGGUUUUACCUUGACGAAUUGUAGUUUAAAGAAGUGUUUUCUGUUGAAGUUUCGGUAAAAGUUCUUUGGAAUAGGACAUCAUAGAGGGUGAGAAUCCCGUAUUUGACCGUUAUUUUCAGCUGUGUGAUACACUUUCAAAGAGUCGGAUUGUUUGGGAAUGCAGUCCAAAAUGGGUGGUAAAUUUCAUCUAAAGCUAAAUAUUGGCGAGAGACCGAUAGCGAACAAGUACCGUGAGGGAAAGAUGAAAAGAACUUUGAAAAGAGAGUUAAACAGUACGUGAAAUUGUCAAAAGGGAAGCGUUUGACACCAGUGUUGUUUUCUCGAAAAUCAAUUAAAAAUGGCUUGAUUUUGUGUUGUAUUGACCUUAAAAGCUUUCUGCACUUUUUUCAUGUCUUUUUUAAUGCACUUUUCGUUUAACAAGUCAACAUCAAGUUUCUUUUGUUGUAAAAGAGUCAUUGGAAGGUGGCUUUCUUUUCGGAGAAAGUGUUUAUAGCCUUUGACUCCUGCAAUCGGAGAGACUGAGGUCUGCAGCGUAGAUCCUUCUUGGAUUAGAUUCAUUUGUGCUAAGUUAUAGCUUUUUAUAGACAACUUGUUGACUAUAUUUAGUCUUGUAGCUUACUCGCUUAUGCAAUUUUACCUACGCUUAGGAUGUUGAACGCGCACAGAGUCUC